CCGAAGCUUACUUAUGCCGGAGAGUUCUGAUGAAUCACCAAAGAAAAGAAAAACUCAAAUUUCUAAUAGUGGCCUGGGUGCAGUGUAUUCGAAUUAUCAACAGUGCUCCUCAAAUAAAGAAAAUAAAAGAAAAAGAUUUUACUUUCUAUGAGUACACACAGUAUCUUCAAGCAGAACAAUGGAUAUUGAUCAGACCAGACAGUCUGGAGAAUUUACCAUGGAUAGAAGUAACAAAAGUGACAGCAACACAUUCGAUUGGUUUAAUGGAUAUUUUGGGCAGGAGUAGCAGACUGGUACAUUGAUUCCAAAAUCUUGAACAAAUAACAACUGAACACAUUCUUGUCUCUUUUAAGUGGGAUAAUGUUAAUCUUUAAAAAAUGCCAGCACAAUUGAAAUUAAUAUGGGAUAGUUGAAAGAAGAAAUUUCAAAAUGAUACAUAUUAUCACAAUGUUGUAUUUAGACAACCUCUAUUUUUGUGAAACAGUUUUUUUUAAAAACUUUAAAUACUGUGAUGAUCUACAAAACAUUAUUAAAAGAUGAACAUGCAGGUCUCAAGUGUGAUCCAGUUUUUAACCGCUUUUCGCUUGAAAAAAAAAUCAAGCUUUUUUAAAUUUAUGAAGUGACAACAAUUGUUUCUACUGGAUUUACAUUGAAUAAAUAAUAUUAUCCAGACAUUAAAAUAUUUUCAUUUUUUCGCAAUGUUUUUAUCAAAUUUUUUUAACCUUUCUAAGUCAGACUUCUUGAUGCUUCUAGUUGUUACACACUACAUUUAAAACAUUGUCACAUUUCAUAUGAUAUAUUCUGGCUUUCAUUGUAUUUUGUGUUUUUUGUUUUUUGGUGAAAUUGCAAAUUGUGUUCUUACCAAUGAAACUUAACAGUUAAUUGUGCUUGAUUUUUUUUUCUUAAACAAUGAAAAACCCUUUUAAUUAAAAAUUAAUAUGUUAAGGGAAAGUUUGGAACUAUUUGAUUUGAUUACCAUUGAGACAGCUUUCCACGAAAGUUCAAAUGAUGUAACCGUAGGCAUACGACAUUUCAAGGACAUGAGAAAAAGCCAUACUGUAUAGUCAUCUAUAAAAGACCCCGAUAAUAAACACCAAUUCAAUUGAGAAGAAUAACGGCCUAAUUUAUUACAAUUUACGAAAAACAAUAUGACAGACAUGAACCAACAACAACCACUGAACAACAGGCUCCUGACUUGGGACAGUCACAUAACGGAGGUGGCAGGGUGAAACAUGUUUGUGAUCGCUCAACCCUCUCCCAGCCUGGGACAGUGGUGUAACAGCACAACAUAAGAAUAAGCAUUUAUUUAGUACAGUAUUAUUUUAAAACAACAGCUUUCAAAAAUUCACUUAAUUUUGAUGGCAAGUAUUAGUAACCAAUCAAUAUAUAAAGAGAUAUGAAUCACCUGUGUGCAAUUUUGAUAGAUAUAUAUUAUGCAAAUGUUGAAAUUUAAAUUACAAUACUUAAAUGACUACUUACCCAUUUUUCAUCAGUAUUCUGAUAUAUUAAAGUAUAGAAAUUGACCCUAUGUAAAAGUUUCAAAGUCAAUGAAUCAUGACUGGGGGAGGGAAAAUGAUCAUUUUGGAGAUGAGAUGUGCAAAAUCUAGUACAACUGCACAUCUAAUGUAAUAACCGUUAAUGUUCAGCCUUAAACUGACCAAAUCACAAACAUAAACCUGUAAACUAACUAUGCAUUUUCGAAAUCAAUAGACAGUGAUUGGGGAGGGAUAAUCGCCAUGGAAAUAAUUUCCAGUGUCUUUUUAUAAAUGGUUACUAGAGUGACAUCCCUUAAUUAUUCCCCUUCUGACUGAACUAAAUAGCAAUACACAUUGCUAUGAGUUGAUGCUCUAUUGAAUAUAAAUGUGUAAACCUAAUUUUGUGAUUGAAUUCAGUCAUAAUAUUUUUUUUACUGCUGCAGAACUGGUCUUUUCAACAAAUAUUUCCUGAAUUUGUAUUGACUGAAUUCAGUCAUCUGUAUUAUAGAUGUGUAUACUAUGUAAAAUCACACUUGGUGUAAUUUAAGUCUUAGAAAACACUCUAAUUUAGUACAAUUUCUUGUAGCUUCUAUCAAAUGCUGUGUGACUGAAUUCAGUCACCAUUUUGUGAAAAUAAUGAACAGGAUAAAGAGUUAAUUUCAUUUAGCUGUUAUCCUGUUAUAUGUUGCUUGUAUUAAUCUAUAAUCCGAAUUCUGUUUCAUCUGAAUUAACAGGAAUAGGUAUUAGUUAAGAAGCAACAAGUACAAAUGUAUUUGAUAGAUAUUUUACGAAUAAAAUGGUAAUGUUACUUUCUAUUGUACUUAUUGAAUUAUGUUAUAUGAAGAUGCAAUCAGGUGACUGAAUUCAGUCACUCAAAAAAUUAUCACCGUACAAUGCUAUUUUAUUUUUUGUAAGUUGAUCAUAUUAAUGGGGUCAUUAAUAUGAAUAUAUUCUGUGUUGACGUUUUCAUCCAUUUUAAAUAAAAUGCGCAUUGCA
Molecule: long non-coding RNA, 2471 nt
Organism: Mytilus californianus (California mussel)
Lineage: Eukaryota; Metazoa; Mollusca; Bivalvia; Mytilida; Mytilidae
Exons: 3
Source: RefSeq, a predicted model, not a curated record